This 368-nucleotide non-coding RNA is filed under the name Capsicum annuum. RNAcentral's name for it is "Bacterial large subunit ribosomal RNA". It matches the Rfam family "Bacterial large subunit ribosomal RNA", at positions 46 to 454 of the family's 2925-position model. Lineage: Eukaryota; Viridiplantae; Streptophyta; Magnoliopsida; Solanales; Solanaceae. The record is from Rfam by way of RNAcentral.
AGAAGGAAGGGCGUAAUAGUCGAUGAAAUUCUUUGGGGAGUUGAAAACCAUCAUAGAUACGAAGAUCCCUAUAUAGGGUAACCUUUCAAACUACUAUUGAAUCCAUAGGCAGUAAAGAGAUAACCAAGCAUACUAAAAGAUCUUAGUAUCUAGAGGGAAAGAAAGAAAAAUCGAUUCCCAUAGUAGUGGAAGGCUAAAUAAGAGCUGCCUAAAUAGUGAAAACAAGGUUGUGGGAGAGCGGAAUAAGUAUCAUCUAGAUAGGCGAAGCAGCCCAAAGGUUACACCCUAUUUCUCAGGUCAUGAUGGCACCUACUUUAACCCACCAGUAGGUUUUCCAAUCCAUAGUCUGGAACCACAAGUAAUGGACU